Molecule: long non-coding RNA, 462 nt
Filed under: Chrysolophus pictus (golden pheasant)
Lineage: Eukaryota; Metazoa; Chordata; Aves; Galliformes; Phasianidae
Description: lncRNA (ENSCPIG00010011471.1)
Source: RNAcentral
GAGGAGACAAGACUGGACUACAUGGAUCAAGGGAGAAGACAUGGACAGUGCUUCUAAGUGUGAAGGAAAAACAAGCAAUUGGCACUCCAUCAUCAGUCUGAAACUUCCAGAGAGUCACAGCAGUCUCCCCCGCUCCUGGACUCCAGCCAUGUCAGAUAGAAGAAAACUUUCCAGAAUAACUUUCUGAAGUAUUGGAGCCCUUGGUAAUCGUGAGUAAUUACACACGUAGUUCCUCUGACUGACCAAACUAAAAGCCUGAACUCAAACAGGAAGAUUCUGACUGCUGUGUUGUACAACUUCCAACUCUAGUUUGAAAUUGUUCUUGAUCUCCACCCCCCUCAAGAUUCAGAAUUGGGAUUAGUCAGUUUAGACACAGAGCUAGAAAAAUGACACUUUUGUUAAUGAAAUUAAAAUAGCCCAUGUGCCUAAGAAAUAAGAAAGCAAAGAAUCUUCUUAUAAGGG